RNAcentral lists this ribosomal RNA (484 nucleotides) under uncultured bacterium. RNAcentral describes it as "partial 16S ribosomal RNA". It matches the Rfam family "Bacterial small subunit ribosomal RNA", at positions 28 to 507 of the family's 1533-position model. The record is from RNAcentral.
AUUGAACGCUGGCGGCAUGCUUUACACAUGCAAGUCGAACGGCAGCGCGGGCUUCGGCCUGGCGGCGAGUGGCGAACGGGUGAGUAAUGCACCGGAACGUGCCCAGCAGUGGGGGAUAGCCCGGCGAAAGCCGGCUUAAUACCGCACACGACCUGAUGUUGAAAGCGGGGGAUCGAAAGGCCUCGCGGCAUUUGAGCGGCCGAUGUCGGAUUACCUAGUUGGUGUGGCAAAGGCUUACCAAGGCGACGAUCCGAAGCUGGUCUGAGAGGACGACCAGCCACACUGGGACUGAGACACGGCCCAGGCUCCUACGGGAGGCAGCAGUGGGGAAUUUUGGACAAUGGGGGGAACCCUGAUCGAGCCAUGCCGCGUGCGGGAAGAAGGCCUUCGGGUUGGAAACCGCUUUUGUUCGGGAAGAAAUCCUCUGGGCUGAAACCCCGGGGGGAUGACGGUACCGUAAGAAUAAGCACCGGCUAACUACGUG